This 1135-nucleotide long non-coding RNA is filed under the name Cervus hanglu yarkandensis (Yarkand deer). Its description in RNAcentral is "lncRNA (ENSCHYG00000025903.1)". The record is from RNAcentral. Lineage: Eukaryota; Metazoa; Chordata; Mammalia; Artiodactyla; Cervidae.
GCUACGUACUUAUUGGUUGCUCAGGAAGACGGAAGCGAAAAGUGAGGCUCGAUCCUCCCAGGCCAACACCGGAACUGCUGGGUACCUUCUCAGUACUUUAUUCGGCCCUGUGUGACAUGUAAAGUCUUUUAGUCUCCCAUUUGCUCCAUUGGACCUAGAACAUACCAGGAUCUAAGAAAAUAUUUCCCAAAGCGUGUGAGAAAUCACGGCACUCAUUAAACAAAAGGCUUUGGUUUUUGUCUUUCUGUUCAAGACCUAGCCUGUAGAAUAAAAAAAAAUUCAUCCUAGGUAUUAUAUGUGAAGCAGAGAAAAGGAAAGAAUCAAAAGGAAAUAGAUUAAGGCAGAGCUGACUUCGGACGUCAUCUAAUUUCUUUAUUUUGCAGCUGGGAAAAGUGAGACCGAGAGUGUGAGUGACUUGACUAACAUCACACAACCAAUUAGCAACAGAACCAGAACGACUCCUGACUCCGACUCUGGGAUCCCUUUUUGGAGACGUGAAAGAGUGAAAAACUGCCGAGGCUGCACCUCAUCCAGUGGUCGCAGACAUUGCAGUCUCCAGAAGUCAGCCCCCCUGCCCCUGCCUCCAGCCCACACAAGAAUCAGGUGCUCCCAGGACCUGUCAGAUCCCCGAGCCUGGCUGCCCGUCAUCAUCCUUCCUGACUCCUGGGGCCCUGCUCUUCCCAGAGGCGGUGCUCCAGGUAAGAGUUCAAGGUUGGUGAACAGGUGCAGGGGAGGUAGGGAGAAAGCAGCCCCGGCCUCUCUUGCCUUAGAUUUCUAGAAUUGUAAAUACUUUGGAAAAGAAACAACAGUAAAGUCAGCAUUGAGGAGAGACUCUGUUGCUCUUUUAACAAUGCCUGUUUGUAGCUAUGAGACUUCUACAGGAUUCAGGACUCUCUGGCCUUCAAGUAUCACUUGAAGGUGCUCUGAGGACUGCUUGGGGAGACCAUGAUGAAGACUCAGGUCAGAUAAAGCUUCCCACCCCAUCAGUUCCUUCACUGGAAGGGGAGGCUGGGAGCAGAAUGACUGAUGAGCGGAAGCUGGUCUGACCCCCAAUUCAGAGAUCAAAGACCCACCACCACCACCUGGAGUAAUCACCAACUGCCCCACCCCCAAACUCAGUGGCGAUGAACCUGGA